This 85-nucleotide transfer RNA is filed under the name Corynebacterium kroppenstedtii DSM 44385. Its description in RNAcentral is "tRNA-Leu". It matches the Rfam family "tRNA". From Rfam's summary of the family: Transfer RNA (tRNA) molecules are approximately 80 nucleotides in length. Their secondary structure includes four short double-helical elements and three loops (D, anti-codon, and T loops). Further hydrogen bonds mediate the characteristic L-shaped molecular structure. tRNAs have two regions of fundamental functional importance: the anti-codon, which is responsible for specific mRNA codon recognition, and the 3' end, to which the tRNAs corresponding amino acid is attached (by aminoacyl-tRNA synthetases). tRNAs cope with the degeneracy of the genetic code in two manners: having more than one tRNA (with a specific anti-codon) for a particular amino acid; and 'wobble' base-pairing, i.e. permitting non-standard base-pairing at the 3rd anti-codon position. The record is from RNAcentral. Lineage: Bacteria; Bacillati; Actinomycetota; Actinomycetes; Mycobacteriales; Corynebacteriaceae.
GCGCUUGUGGCGGAAUUGGCAGACGCGCUGGAUUUAGGUUCCAGUGUCUUUUGACGUGGGGGUUCAAGUCCCCCCAAGCGCACGA